AAUAACCAUUCUACAAAACACAGUCAUGUAUCCAACAAAGACUUGGCCAGCAAAUUCAAACCAUGUAAAAUUUAUAGUAAAAGACAUAAUCAGCAAAGUGAAGGGAGAACCUCUAUUGUUGAACAAUAUUCUCCAAAACGUGUAAAAGGGCAGCAUAAACUUCUAAAUGAUCAAACACAUGGUGAGGGCUCAAAGUCGACAGUCAAAGCCUCUACGACGACCCCAAAAUGACCUCGACUUAAGUGGAAGAUUAUGAAUUUUAAACUCUUACCCGACUGAACACUACCUUGAAAAUGCGAUCUUUGGACAAAUUUUUCAACUUGUUUCAACGGAGUUUUGGACAAGAUUUUUUCUGAGCUUUGGAGGUUAUUUGGGUGUGGUUGUUGGCUGGAAUCCACUACUUUAAGUUGUAAUUUUGGGGGGAGGGGGCUGUUGUGGACUGAUUUCAGUAAGUUUUUAGCUGAUUUUUGCUAGAUAAUUGAGGCUAUUUUUCAGCUUAUUGUCCCUGAUUUGGGACUGUGUUUGAGCUGAUUUUUGUGGUGGUUAAAAGGUGAUUUUGGAGUUGGGUUUGGUGCUAUUUUUCCGCAACUAUUGGAGUUAUUUUUGGCUGGUUUUAGUCCAUUUUCUCGCUGGUUUCAUGGCUGGAUUUUGAGGCAUUUAUGGGCCAUUCAUGACUUGUUUCUCUCUGAACCUAACGGGUGUUGUUGGAACUUGGUGAGAAAUUAAGAGAGAUGUUAAGCUCUUUUAGGGAGGCAACAGAUUUUUGCAAAGGAAUUUAGGGAACGUGAGUCUCUGUUCGUUCCUUGUUCAGCCAAAAAUCAUAAAAAAUGGCUCCUUUUCUUUUUAGAAGAAAACCAGAUCGGGGAGGAGGAGGUCUUUUGUUAUUAACACCAUAUCC
RNAcentral lists this long non-coding RNA (898 nucleotides) under Nicotiana benthamiana. Its description in RNAcentral is "long non-coding RNA (NBEN_LNC016169)". Lineage: Eukaryota; Viridiplantae; Streptophyta; Magnoliopsida; Solanales; Solanaceae. The record is from RNAcentral.